This 109-nucleotide unclassified non-coding RNA is filed under the name Neurospora intermedia. RNAcentral's name for it is "partial miscellaneous RNA". Lineage: Eukaryota; Fungi; Ascomycota; Sordariomycetes; Sordariales; Sordariaceae. The record is from RNAcentral.
AGAAGUCACCGUUAGGGUUAUGCAAAUGCUUUGCAUAGUAGGUGCGAUUCCUUCGACUUCUACCUUGUUUUGCCUAUAUGUCCACUGCCCGUAUGAGAGAAUCGUACGC